GAUGAACGCUGGCGGCGUGCCUAAUACAUGCAGGUCGAGCGAACAGACGAGGAGCUUGCUCCUCUGACGUUAGCGGCGGACGGGUGAGUAACACGUGGAUAACCUACCUAUAAGACUGGGAUAACUUCGGGAAACCGGAGCUAAUACCGGAUAAUAUAUUGAACCGCAUGGUUCAAUAGUGAAAGACGGUUUUGCUGUCACUUAUAGAUGGAUCCGCGCCGCAUUAGCUAGUUGGUAAGGUAACGGCUUACCAAGGCGACGAUGCGUAGCCGACCUGAGAGGGUGAUCGGCCACACUGGAACUGAGACACGGUCCAGACUCCUACGGGAGGCAGCAGUAGGGAAUCCUCCGCAAUGGGCGAAAGCCUGACGGAGCAACGCCGCGUGAGUGAUGAAGGUCUUCGGAUCGUAAAACUCUGUUAUUAGGGAAGAACAAAUGUGUAAGUAACUAUGCACGUCUUGACGGUACCUAAUCAGAAAGCCACGGCUAACUACGUG
RNAcentral lists this ribosomal RNA (497 nucleotides) under uncultured bacterium. RNAcentral's name for it is "partial 16S ribosomal RNA". It matches the Rfam family "Bacterial small subunit ribosomal RNA", at positions 28 to 507 of the family's 1533-position model. The record is from RNAcentral.